AUUCCUUCGCUUAAGUGUCGCUUUUUGGCUAAGAUCAAGUGUAAUAUCUGUUCUUAUCAGUUUAAUAUCUGAUACGUUUUCUAUCCGGGAGCCAUAUAUUAAAUUGAUUUUUGGAAUAGGGAAAUGGAAUAAAAGCUUGCUUCGUCUACUUCAUGCAUUGACUCAGUAUUGCAGUACUUCUUGGAACAGUGCAUCUCUU
Neoarius graeffei (lesser salmon catfish) is the source of this 199-nucleotide small nuclear RNA. RefSeq annotates it as U2 spliceosomal RNA. The record is from RefSeq and is a predicted model, not a curated record. The transcript has a single exon. Lineage: Eukaryota; Metazoa; Chordata; Actinopteri; Siluriformes; Ariidae.